ACUCCUACGGGAGGCAGCAGUGAGGAAUAUUGGGCAAUGGGCGAAAGCCUGACCCAGCCACGCCGCGUGAGUGAUGAAGGCCCUCGGGUCGUAAAGCUCUGUGGAGAGGGACGAAAACCCUGGUUUCAAAUAGGCUCCAGGCUUGACGGUACCUCUUUAGCAAGCACCGGCUAACUCUGUGCCAGCAGCCGCGGUAAUACAGAGGGUGCAAACGUUGCUCGGAUUUACUGGGCGUAAAGCGCGUGUAGGCGGGCAUGUAAGUCGGACGUGAAAUCCCUGGGCUCAACCCAGGAACUGCGUUCGAAACUACAUGUCUAGAGUAGUGGAGAGGAAAGUAGAAUUCCCGGUGUAGAGGUGAAAUUCGUAGAUAUCGGGAGGAAUACCAGUGGCGAAGGCGGCUUUCUGGACACUUACUGACGCUGAGGCACGAAAGCGUGGGGAGCAAACAGGAUUAGAUACCCUGGUAGUC
This 469-nucleotide ribosomal RNA is filed under the name uncultured bacterium. RNAcentral's name for it is "bacterial SSU rRNA". It matches the Rfam family "Bacterial small subunit ribosomal RNA", at positions 335 to 795 of the family's 1533-position model. The record is from RNAcentral.